Molecule: long non-coding RNA, 8769 nt
Organism: Cygnus olor (mute swan)
Lineage: Eukaryota; Metazoa; Chordata; Aves; Anseriformes; Anatidae
Exons: 3
Source: RefSeq, a predicted model, not a curated record
GACUCAAAACCAGAAAAACAAUUCCAAAUAUAUUGCAAUUUAAAACCUCAUUCAUUUUAUUUUAACCUCAUUCAUUUCAGUGCAUGGAGCUGGGAAUUACCAAAAUUGGGUUAGGUUUCCAAAGGAAUCAUAGGCAUGACAAUGCUGAGACAUAUUGGUUUCUCCUGGAGCGUGUGAUUGCUGGCUGCAGUCGUGGGGACCCUCUUGCCAUGUGUGGGAGACCUGAAGGUCUCCAAAUGGACCAAGGAAAUCCCUUAGAUAGUGGCAAAAAGUGCUGAGACAGAGGUGCUGCUACUGCUACAACCCUAAGGAAAUCUGGGGUCUAUAUCCCCUUAGGCACCAAGGGCUGUGCUUUCAAAAGCAAGGGAAAAUGGAGCCAAGGUAGAGACAGCGUUUUUUCUUUACAUGGUCUCAGAAGAGGUUUGAGUCGCAUCUACUCCAUUGGUUUGUUGAUAGCAGUUUGUUUACAGUGCGUUAGCUCUAUCGGUUUCUAAACAAAGGCAAGUCAAAAGUGGUGUAGAGACAAGACCAUCUGCACAACAUGAUCUGUCACUGGUCCAUUUUGGUACAAUAAACGUGUUCUGUUUGCCUCCGUCCAACUGCAUUCCCUCACAAUUACUUUAUGGACGCUAAUUAUUUUUAUCUAGAGCUCCAGUCACUAGCUUUUGUUCUCAAAUUUUGUAGCUAACUAGCUCCGUUUAAAAAAACAAAACAAAAAAAAAAAAAACUGAGCCACAGGCUUUCAUCAUCUAUUUCAUAAAUGAAGCAGGACCUCUUAAGUAAUGUGCAUAGUCAUAGGAUGUAUAUUUUUAUGUUACAUUUAUAUUUUAAAGAAGACUGUGACAAAGGAUGGCAACAACAGGUUUGUCUCUGAGAUAUUGUUAUUAGCAAGGAUUACAAAAUCACUGUUUACUGUCUGCAGUCAUUCUUAAUAGUUUGGCACUGAACUGCUAACACGUACCAGAGGAAUCACUGGCUAAGGGAAUCAAGGCUCUCUCAAAGUAUAGUUAGAAUGAAGGGUCUGCUCUAUUUCUUCAAUCCAGUUCUAAUAAAACAAUGCUUCCUGCCCACACCUAGCUCACCAAAGUGUGCUGAUUACAACAUGCCCUCCUUUCUGUAGUAGAAUAGGCAUCUUACUUUGUAUACAUGUUUUUGGCAAGCUUUUGCCUGCUGAUGUCUUCCUCUUCAUUUGUGCUUUCUUUAUAGUGUUGUGUUUAGAUAUCUGUUCUUUAUAACACCUUGCUUUACUGUUCACAGGGGUUAGAUUGUUUGCAGCCUGAUCAGCUCCAAAGAAUUAGUUGAUACAGUUUGAAAUUUAGACACAAAUCAAAAAAUAGGGAAAGUAUUUUGCCUUUUUUUCUCCACUUUGCAACUAGCUAAGCUUCCAUAGUUAAGUAUCUUGACCUUUGUACAGCCGGUUGUGUGUGUGGAUGUUUUAGCUGAAUAUUCUAACCUUGUUUUCUGUAUUUAGUUUGGGAUCUCUCAAAUGAAAGGCACUACUGGCCUUAUUUAGGCAUUUCUUCUACAGUUUAUAGUCUAUAAAAAGGAAAUAUAAAGGGUCUCAAGUCUCUACAUGUUUGCUCUGGUAGCACCCCUUAGACUAAGUAACUCCUUACUUGCUCCUUCAUAAUGGCAGAGCCACAGCACUUAAGAGCUGAUGAGGGUGUAAUCCCUAGCAAUCCUUUAACAGCACAAAUGGAAAAGCUUCUAGUAAAUGUUUCUGUUUUUUUUCAGAGGUUGCUCUCCUCCAGAGGUUUGGUUUUCUGGCUCCUCCUAUGGAUGGCAGCCUGACGCUCUUUUUCAGUCUUUGGGAACAGCCCUGAGAAGAGCUACAUUUUUGACUUGGAAGGGCUGUUAUUUAAAUGGAAAAAUGUUACACAUAUAGUGCGUGUUCCUAGUCGUCUUCCCACAGAAUCAGCCAAAGAAGUGUCACUGGAAAAGCAAUAUGCAUUUCUCUUAAGUGUUUGUCUCAGAGUCUUGCUCCACAACAUCAGUUCAAAUCACAGUUUAAUUACAGAAGUGCUCAAUUUACAAAUGCUUGGCCACUCUACUGUUUUGAGUAAAGAAAUAAAGUGGCACUUGCACAUAUUCUGGCCUAGAUGAGAGAGUGCCCGCUCGUCGACAGCAGAGCCUAUGAGUUGCGAACAAAUAAAGGCUCAAGUAACAGGGAGUCUGCAGGUUGGACCUGAACGUCCUUUUUGCUGGCCAGCUAUGAACUGCUGGAGAACCGAUGCGCAUGGCACAGCAGUGAAUGUAGAAGGUUUGAUCCACAUCUGUUUCCAGCCGCAUGCUGGCUGGAGCAGCCUGAGCAUCAAUGCUUGCCCUAUCAGGUAAAUGCUGAUCUUAGGAACACUGUACCAGCAGUCACAGCACAAAGGUGUGGUGGUGCGGCAAAGGCAGAGCAUCACAGCAGCUCCAAAAGUUCUGACUUGGUUUCUCACAAAGAAAAUUUACAUUUCGUGCAUCUCAAGGUCCUUACUGACUGCCCUAUUUGCUUCAGGAUCCGGUUUGAAAUUGUAUUCCUUGUUUUUCAAACCACACCCUCACUCCUUGGACUUUUUUCCAGUUUGUCUCCUGGAGACAGUGAAGCCCUCCCCUUUCCUUCCGUCUCUUCUCUCCUUCCAACAGGCUCCUUGCUGCUGAGUUCAGAGCUGUCUCCUCUCGUCUUCUCCUGUCCAGAACCGACUCCCUGUGUGUGUCCUGGAGUCAUUUUCCAUUUUAGUACAAAAUUCCAUUCCAGUAAUGUCCUUUUCCCUUGGAAUUCAAUUCUCCUUGCCCCAUCUGUUGUUCUUAUUGAAUGCAUCGAACUUUGAAUCAUAUCAAGCACUUUGUGGCUCUGGAUGGGGUUCUUCUGUGGUUUUUGUAAGACAUUGUGCAAAUUCCUGACAGCAGGCUGGUAAAAAUUGUAUGUGGAAUGUUUUGGAAAAAGCAACUUGAAAUGCAAAGGUUCUGCUGCAGCAUUGUUCAGUAGGUGAGUGUUUAAUGUUUAAAUUCCCUCUAGUUCUUUCUCUGGUGGGGACAUGUCACUGUACACACUUAGCAUUUAAAGGAAAUCCCCUUUUAUGGUGGAUUUAACUCCUGACAUGUUCUCGAUAAAGGUCACUUCAUGAAUUUAUAGCUUGGUAUGUGAAGCCCCAUCCUGUGUUCCCUGCGCAUGGAAAGCUCAGCUGGAGAUGAUGAAUUCUGAUGGUAUUUAAUGUCAAAAUGAACACAAGUGUCUAGAGGCAGUAGCAGUGCAGGCUGGAGGUCUCCAGAUUCCCCAUAGAACUGAUGCCAUGAUGAUACAUAAUUUACUUGUAACUUGUAAGCAAUACACCCGUCUUUCCUCCCAGAAGCUCUUCCAUUUAAAGAAGCCAUGUCUGUCAUUGUGUAGCGCGCUGACAUUCAUGCUCUCUCUGCAUUCAUACAGGCGUUUGGUUCUUCUUUGGACACCUGCAUUCUCCAGAGUGUGCAGCACAGAUGCUGAAUUACUUGCACAGCAAUGUAUAAGGCAGCUGAAAUUGCAACUCCUUCAGCCUAACCUUGUAAAAACAGAGUUCUACUGGUCAGUGACGCAAAGCUGAAUAAAGAGCAUGGGAGUCAACGUCUGUCUUCAGAAUCGUGACAGUUGGGUCAGGGCUGCUUGCUACGUCAACAUUUUUAGAAGCUGAAUUCCUCCAGAGUGUUUUCUCUGGCAAUAUAUCCAUUAAAUGGAUAGAGGGGCUUGGCUUCAAAACCCUGAUGCUUGAGAGACCUGAGGAAGCAAAGACACUCCCUGCAGAUUCGCGCAGAUCAUGAACACCAUCAGACUGACUCAGCAAGUAUUUCUACAUAUGCCUAACCACAGAGGUGUAAGGAAGUUUAAUGGUUUUAAUAUGACUCUCAACACGAUUAAGAAAUAUGCACAAAUUUAAGCACGCAUUUUUCAAUUAAGGACCAUAGCUUCUUGCCUUCUAACGCACCCAGGCUCCACUGCUCUGUUAUUGCCACUGGCUGCUGGUGUCUAACGAUACAAGGAAAACAGUAAUGUCCUGCUUUACCCCAUAGUGAAGAGCUGCUUUGGUUGUGCUGUUCAGCUUACCUCUCUUGGGCGCUGGUGAAGUCCUCAGGUGUCUGGCAGGCUGUUGCUGUAAACCCAGCAUAGCACAUGUUAUCUUGAGAGGGGAAUAAGACCUCAGUGCUGUGUUUCAAACACCCAUUAGUAAAGCAAGCAAUUAAAAAAAGUCUUUAGCUUAUGGAGAUUGCAGGAAGGAAAACAGCUCCAGAAAUUUGAAGUUGGAAAUGUUAGAGCAGUCAGGUUCAUCAGUUUCCUAAGAACAAGCUUCCUUUCCACCACUUUCAGCUGCAAGGAUGACAAUCUGACCAUCCACUUUCACGCACUGAGCUGGACAAGGAGUGGAAACAGCUCAACAAAGAGCUAUUCAAAAGGGUCAAGAACAGGGAUUUAGUCCAUAACAAAUAAACACCUGAAGAUGGAAAAAAAAAUCAGGCUCUAUUUUCCCUCCCACAUGUUUUGGGAUCAUCGUGCCAGGAAAUUAUUAAAUCAUACAAAUUUCAGUAAUGAAUGCACUGCUUGGAUGGCACGUGAAAUUGCUGAGGGUUAUGGCUAAGGAAAAAUAACACAUUUUUCAGGGUCAGUAGUGAUGUAAAAUCAGAUAGAGGAGUUGGACUACAACUUAAACGGAUUUCUGAAAAUAGUACUGAUACGGGAGGAGACUUCCCUACGUGAUACAAGUAAGCAUUAAGAGGAAGCACAUACAUAAAAAGUAGAGUUGCACCUGCUGCGAUUCAGCACAACUGUUCCCCUUGAUGUUUUUGUUUGAUUGGGAAGACACUGCCACCUAAUUAAAGGAGGGAGGAAGCACCACCACUAAAGCACUUUAUGUAUCUAGAAAACCAUGUUUAAAUAUCGAGAACAAGGCUACUUUGGCUGUGCCAUAAAUGCCAGUUUGUAGCACAUUUGAUUUGUUCUGUGGUUAUUAAAGGUUGAUGCACUGUUAACAGGACUCUGACACUUUUCCCACCUGCACUUUGCUUAUUGUUGCAGUUCAGUUUUGGUGCAUUAGUUCUUGCUAAAUGUGUACCAACAAAAAUUAACGCAUCACUAAAUUAUUGCAACUAUGUCCUUUAGGAAACAAUAUCCUUCUCUCCAUCUUGUGCUACAGUAUUUUCCAAUUAAUAUUUUCUCUGUAUCUCUGUGAGUCACAACUGAACAUAGAGCCUGUGGACUGGAGGUGGGAGGCCACAGCUGGCAGCCUGGCCAGAGCAAAGCAGGCUGCGGCAUUGUUACUGACUGCUGCCAUUUUGAGCACAUCGGGUGAGGUGGGGAUAAUGCCAAAGGCAAGGAUUGAGGAUCAGCACCCACAAAUACUGCUAGCUCCUAUCUAAUACUGUAUUACUUCAUGCCACUUUAGGAAUAAAAAUAAAAGCCAGAAAUGUCAACAGCCUGUAACACAGCAAAUGUACAACGAAGCAGAUGAAAUGACUCACAGGUCUCCUCUGCAGUGUUGUUAGCAGCUCAAGUAUUUUCAGGGCAGAAGGCUGCAGAACUUUGAAUCUGGAAUUGUCUCAGAGUCUCCAUCAAAUUCCCAUCUUUAAGAAUUCUUGGCUUUCCACAAGAGUCAAAUUACAAUUGACAGGUCCUUGGACAUUCAGUCCAGAUCAUCCUGCAUGCAUUGUUCCAGGGUGAUGCUGUCCCUCCCUCCCAAAGCUCUUUCCAUGGGCAGGUGGAUGCAAUCAGGUUUUAACCUUUGCUUUCUUACAUGACUGUUUUGUAGCCUUAGUAUUCAUGUGUGUCUGAUGGAUUUCCUGGCUGCCUUUCUGCCUAGUCAUCACUUGAAAAGGGAAGGAACAUCCUGUCAUCAUCAUCCAAGUGGACCAGUAGGCAGAGACAUAAAUAGAUUGGCCAAUCCAGACACAAGGCAACAGUGAAAAUAAGUCAGUUAAGAUCGACUUCAUGAGUGUUAGUGUGCAGUAACUUUGUACUGUCAUUACUGUGGAUCCUACUGGAAGCUAAGAACAGACUGACUGCAUUACCACCCUUCUCAGUUACCUCUCACAAGGGAAUUCCUGCAGGAAUUUUUCUUCAAAGGCACUCAAACAUACUAGCCAGUAAACCCCACAGAACAAAUGAAUAUUGGAUGCAAACAAACAUUGGUAUUACACAGAAAUUCUAAGAGAAAUCUGGAGCUCAAAUCCUAGGGUAAAAACGUCAAAUUUUAGUACCCUCAUAACUGAGCUCAACGCAGCAUUAGACUGGCAGAAUUAGUAUACCGAUGAGACUGUAUUGAAAAAAAGUACCUUCAGUUAGCUCUUUCAUUCCCGUAAGAUGGACAGUGGAUGAAUGUAAAGGAUAAGAGAACAAGGAAGAAGUUGGAAAAGACGUAGGAAAAAAAUCAGCUAGAAGAAGCAAAAUGUUACAUUAAUAACUUGAUUGAAUGUAGGGAAGAGGUUAAAAAAUGGAGUAAAUAGCUUACAUUUUUAUCUAUUUUACAAAACUUUUAAUGUCAGUAAGAAAUUUUGUUGAAUAAAGCCAGAGGAAGACAAUUAAAUUCUAAUUUUUCCUCACAAGUCAUAACAUACCUUUUCUUAGAUUAUAAACUUAGGGGCAGGAUUUCUCACUUCCUAGGGCAGAUGUGCACCUGGCUAAUUGACAAACACAUUCCAGACUGUAUCGUUAUCUUUCUAUGCUGAAGGGUUAAUGAAUGCAGCAUGGCCUCAGUGGCACUCCUCAUACUCUUGCUGCCCUAGCUGGCCUUGGAAGGUUGUGAGACACACUGAAGCCAGGCAAAGGUUUCUUCUAAGCAAUAGAAAGUCUAGCAGUUUUUCAGAGUACUGAUCUACAGGCAGAGCUUAGUCAUUUGCCAAAGAUAUCUGUUAACAGAAAGAACAGAUUUACAAUUAAUAUAGAGGAAAAUGAAGGAUCAACUAGAAUCCAGAUGCCAAGGAAGACAGUUAUUUUCCCAAAAAAUAUUCACAGAGAGAGCUGGAAUGCCAUUUUCUAGAAGGUUCUGCCUCGCUAACAGCAAAGUCACAAUCCAUCUAGACUUUUUAUAGCUGAGGCAGGGCUCCAGAGUCACUGUAUUUAGAAAACCCUGCCUGGCCCCCCUCCAGGGGUCUUCCCAAUUUGGCAGACUGUUUAUCGUGGGGGUACCUCCCUGCUUUCUUUCAAGUAACCCUUAUCAGCCCAUCAGUUCUGGAUCCACAGAUCCCUGGAUCUCAGAGAUACAUAUUUACUUGGAAGCAAUGUACAACAUACGAUGUACAAAACCAAAAUGCAAAUUGUAAGACUCCCUCCUUUAAAACCAAACCAAACCAAGCUGCUUUUCAGACGCAGGGGAAAAAGACAGACAGGCAGAAGCACAGUACCUGCUCUUCCCACUUUUUCAUACUUGCACGAGCAUCUUUUUUACCACCCCCUUCCUCUCAUUUCCCAGAAAGGCAGAGACUGCAUUGUAAGAAAGGAAGUCCUUGAGAAAGCACAAAAGGGUUGAAAUGCCGGACCAGCCAUGAACUAAUUAGUGUGAAAUACUCUCUCUUCUGACUGUCCAAUUCUCCAUGCAAGUAGAGCAAGCUAAGAAUAUUUCUAGCAGAGACUCAGAAUUCACCACACCACUCCAUUGUCUACCAUCUUCCUCUGUACUCUUGGCAUUGUUUUGAUUUUUCUAUAUGCAACAGUAAGGUGCAGAGAUGGAAGAGCUCUCAGUUCCUAUCUGUUGGAGAACUCAGCACAAGGGCAGGAAAACAGUUCUUUGAAUCUUAAAAACCUGUCAAUCAUCUCUCUAGCAUUCUGACUUUCCCUUUUCAGAGCUUCUGUAGUAGCACUUCUGUGGCUUCAUGGUAUCAAAGAAAAUUAAAUCUCUAUUAUGAAGGAAAAAAAAAGAAAUUCAGAAGCCAAGUUCCUCUUCUCACAUGCAGAUAAGAACCUAGCUAAAGGUCAAGACAUUCUGAGGACUUAAUCAGCAAAUUUGGGACCACGCAGGAAUAUUACAUACCUGUGGCUUUUAAGUUUCCAAGAUUGUACAAUUGUUUUUGCCUUAUGUACAAUUGUUUUUGCCUUACUCCUAUCUUGCCUGCCUUCUUCACGUAUAUAUAUCCAGUUGAUGAUAUUCCAGAUGAUAACAAGCACUAUGGCAAGACUACUUUUCAAGCAACAUCUUGGAUUAUUUUGUCUGCACAAGUUAAGGUUUUGCAUAAAUGAAUGCUUGUCUGCAUUCCUCUUUCAGGAUCUAGGAGAACCUACUCAAGAGCCACCUAAUAAGGUCAGCUAAACAGUGACACAUGUAAGCAAAGAGGCACUUUGUAUAUAUACCACAAAACAAGAGAACAUCAGCUGAAUAUUUUUGGAAGUAAUAAAAAGAAAUGCAACAAAUUCACAUGUGAAAUAUUUAGUGCCUUUUGAUUGUUCUGUUUUCUGCAUUUUUUUUUUCAAAGUUGCACACAGUUGUAAAUUCUUUGGGUUCAAACUGAUGUACAAUUUAAUAUCUCAGUUUUAACUGUCAAUGAGAUAAGUUGAAUGCAUCUUUCAAAACAGGUGGUAAGCUUUAUAUAAGUAUCCAUACUGGUCUAAUCUGGCUGUCAAUAUGGGGCAUUAUUUCUUUCUUAAUAUUAUUAGUAUCUGUUUAAUAAUUUAUUUUUUCAGAAUGGAAGAAUUAACCUGCCUGUCCCAGGGACAUUCCAGUCACUUACAGGAUGAUUCAAAGAAAUAUUUUCAUAUCCUGAGUACAAGUGUUAUGGGAUACAUCAGCACCAUUUUCUCAUUCAAAUAAAAGAAACUUGCUAGCAUAUUCA